Molecule: ribosomal RNA, 253 nt
Filed under: uncultured bacterium
Lineage: Bacteria
Description: partial 16S ribosomal RNA
Rfam family: Bacterial small subunit ribosomal RNA
Source: RNAcentral
UACGGAGGGUGCGAACGUUAAUCGGAAUUACUGGGCGUAAAGCGCACGUAGGCGGUCCGUUAAGUGGGGUGUGAAAGCCCCGGGCUCAACCUGGGAAUUGCAUUCCAAACUGACGGGCUAGAGUACGAUAGAGGGAGGUAGAAUUUCCUGUGUAGCGGUGAAAUGCGUAGAUAUAGGAAGGAAUACCUGUGGCGAAGGCGGCCUCCUGGAUCGAUACUGACGCUGAGGUGCGAAAGCGUGGGGAGCAAACAGG